GAUGAACGCUGGCGGCGUGCCUAAUACAUGCAAGUCGAGCGAACAGACGAGGAGCUUGCUCCUCUGACGUUAGCGGCGGACGGGUGAGUAACACGUGGAUAACCUACCUAUAAGACUGGGAUAACUUCGGGAAACCGGAGCUAAUACCGGAUAACAUGUUGAACCGCAUGGUUCAACAGUGAAAGACGGUCUUGCUGUCACUUAUAGAUGGAUCCGCGCCGCAUUAGCUAGUUGGUAAGGUAACGGCUUACCAAGGCAACGAUGCGUAGCCGACCUGAGAGGGGGAUCGGCCACACUGGAACUGAGACACGGUCCAGACUCCUACGGGAGGCAGCAGUAGGGAAUCUUCCGCAAUGGGCGAAAGCCUGACGGAGCAACGCCGCGUGAGUGAAGAAGGUCUUCGGAUCGUAAAACUCUGUUAUUAGGGAAGAACAAAUGUGUAAGUAACUAUGCACGUCUUGACGGUACCUAAUCAGAAAGCCACGGCUAACUACGU
RNAcentral lists this ribosomal RNA (496 nucleotides) under uncultured bacterium. RNAcentral's name for it is "partial 16S ribosomal RNA". It matches the Rfam family "Bacterial small subunit ribosomal RNA", at positions 28 to 506 of the family's 1533-position model. The record is from RNAcentral.